AGGGAAGGGCUAUUUCAAAGCAAAUAAUGUAUAUUUUUAUAAUCUUUCAAAUCAAAAUCUUUAUUUUCAAAGCCUGGUUAAGCUUCACAAAAACAAGCAAGACAGGUGUUUUUGAUGGACUGUAAAUAAAUAGCUAUUCGUUUCAUCCUCCAUGUUCUUAAACUAAAAAUUAAAUAUUGAUGAGCCAUUUUCUGUCUUCCUGUAAUUCACCAGGAGCUUACACCGCAUUAUUCUCAUUGACUCUGAUAGCUCCUGUCCAUACUGACCACUCCUUUGGUUCUAGGAAGUGAGAUUUCUUAUAGGCAUCUGUUUCUCAAGAUGAAAUAUUCUAGAUUAUAAAAGCCAAGAGCCACUUGAAGACAGAAAUUCUAGCAGUCUAAGAAUUGUUUUUUAAAAGGCCAAACUUCAGUUCACCUAAUUUCAAUGUUUUCUCAGUAAAAUAGCAUUUUAUUAGAAACAAUUUACUUAAAAUUAUUAGAGAAACUUCAAAGACAUAAGGCCCUCUGUUGCCGUAACAUUCUUCAGAGGUAAUGCUCAUUCAUUUACUUUGCAGUUGUGCACUGAGGGGUCUGUGCUUUGCAUUGGGCUUUGUACUCUGGUAUGCGGAGAUAAAAACUCCAAUAUGGGAGAAGCAUCUGCACACUGCACGAGCACAAGGAGAGCUGGGUGGAUUUUCCAGUUAGAGUGUUAUCUAAAAGCAUUUAAUAACUGUCCUGCACAGAAAUUCAUUUUAUUAUACCACAUAUUAUAUGUUUCUUUGAUUAUUAAUUUGGUAUUUUAGCAGCCUAGAAGGACUUGAAAUUCCGAAUAUCCAGCAAAAGAUGUUUAACCGUCUUGGGAAUCUCUCUCACAUCUAUUUUAAGAAAUUCCAGUACUGUGGCUAUGCACCGCACGUUCGCAGCUGCAAACCCAACACCGACGGCCUCUCCUCUCUCGAGAACCUCCUGGCCAGCAUCAUUCAGAGAGUGUUCGUGUGGGUUGUGUCCGCGGUUACCUGCUUUGGAAACAUUUUUGUCAUCUGCAUGCGACCUUAUAUCCGGUCUGAGAACAAGCUACAUGCCAUGUCAAUCAUGUCUCUCUGCUGUGAGUAUUCCUGACUAAUAAGGAGCUCUAGUUUUGAAGUAUUUCAAAGCAUAGCUAUUAUAUCUGCAAGUAUGAUUUGUUUGGGAAAUAUGAUUGUAAUCAAAAGCACCUGUAUAUUAAUGAGUAUUUCCCUAUAAGAAAUAAUAAAAUUCAGAUGAUUCAUCCACUAUCCAAAAAUAUUCAUAUAAAACUGAUAAUACUGUAAUACAAGUGUCCAAAAAUAAACAAAUUAACCUGUAUUUUAAAUAUCUUUAUGACAAGUGUGAGAGAGACAAGAG
This 1361-nucleotide long non-coding RNA is filed under the name Cavia porcellus (domestic guinea pig). Its description in RNAcentral is "lncRNA (ENSCPOG00000039892.1)". Lineage: Eukaryota; Metazoa; Chordata; Mammalia; Rodentia; Caviidae. The record is from RNAcentral.